Molecule: small RNA, 2137 nt
Filed under: Pan troglodytes (chimpanzee)
Lineage: Eukaryota; Metazoa; Chordata; Mammalia; Primates; Hominidae
Description: retained intron
Source: RNAcentral
GUGUAUUACAAGCUUCUAAAUACUCUUGCAGAUUACUUGGCUAAGGAACUGGAAAAUGAUUUGAAUGAAACUCUCAGAUCACUGUAUAACCACCCAGUACCAAAGGCAAAUACUCCUGUAAAUUUGAGUGUGCAUUCCUACUUCAUUGCCCCUGAUGUAACUGGACUCCCAACAAUACCCGAGAGUAGAAAUCUUACAGAAUAUUUUGUUGCUGUGGAUGUGAACAACAUGCUGCAGCUGUAUGCCAGUAUGCUGCAUGAAAGGCGCAUCAUGAUUAUCUCGAGCAAAUUAAGCACUUUAACUGCCUGUAUCCAUGGAUCAGCUGCUCUUCUAUACCCAAUGUAUUGGCAACACAUAUACAUCCCAGUGCUUCCUCCACACCUGCUGGACUACUGCUGUGCCCCAAUGCCAUACCUGAUUGGAAUACACUCCAGCCUCAUAGAGAGAGUGAAAAACAAAUCAUUGGAAGAUGUUGUUAUGUUAAAUGUUGAUACAAACACAUUAGAGUCACCAUUUAGUGACUUGAACAACCUACCAAGUGAUGUGGUAAGUAUGAAGGCUAUUCAGUGGUGAACAUAUAUGUUUUCUCCUGGACCUCUGAAUUACUAAGUUAUUUUUCCCACUUUUAAUAUCUGAAAUAAAAGGGUUGGGUAUUUGCAUGGGGUGUGAGAGAAAUCAAUGUUGAUUCUAUAUUUAAUAUUUUUACCUUUUAGCAGUUGAGAUUUUGAAUGGAACAUCAUAUUCCUUAUUGUAAAAGUAAGAUCAUAAUUAAAAAGCUAGAUGCAUUCAUUAGGCAGAGUUUCUUUAAACCUAAGUCUCUUCAUCUCAUCUUAAUCAUUAUAUUACAAAGUAGGCAUUUCUGUCUGCCUAGUGGCAUGUCUUGCAAAAGAAUGAGAGAGUUUUUGAAGGCAAGAAGAAGAAGGGGGCCAAUUAUCGGCUUUUGCUUCCCUGCCACCUGCCAGCGCUUUUCCUUUUAAUUAAUGAUCUGAUGUUACUGGUCAAUAUAAUAAGAAAUGCUUGUACAGUUGGGGUCAGAAAAUUCUGGCUUUGAUCUCCCUCAACUUUCUGAAACAUUUAUUUGUUUUCUCUAAAUUAUUUCAGUUUUAUUUUAAUCUUUUCUAUCCUGCUGAGGGCCGCAAGAAUGAAAACCUACACUGUUUGUCAUUUGCUUUGGCAGAGCAAAGACUGCUUACUUAGAAUUCUAUUUGUAAAUUAAACUGCAAACCCAGUUUGUCAUAAAAGACAUCUGAUCCUUUUGAAAUGACGAAAACUGUCUUUUGUCUGUAAAGGCUGAUAAAUUAAGUGCCAGUUCUCUUCUGGUCUUUGAUCUUGCGGAGGGUUGUGUGUGUGUAUGCGUGUGUCUGCAGCUUAUAAUGGGACAUAUUCUGUAUGUCACGUUAAAUAGUCUCCAAAAGUGCAUUAUUUUUGGCCUUCAUAUUCCUUAGUACAGGACAAAAAUGCAAACUAGUACUGUUUCUGUAUAUAUUUUAAUGGCUACUUAAAAAUAUCUUUAUAACAUAGUUCUAAGUUAAAAUAACUUCCUUUUUUAAAAAACAAAGCAUUUAUUCUUUAUACGGAUAUUAAAAUUUGGGAAUAAAAAUGCCUUCAGAGCAUAUUUUUCUGUAAUAUUGAACUACUUUGAAAUCCAUUAUUAAGGAGUUUGAGAAAGUGAAUUUAAAAAUCCUAAACUCAAAAAUACACUAAUACCAGCCUUGAUUGUCCUUCUGUCUAAUGAUAGGAAAAAUAUGAUUUUAAAGUCAAAAUCAGAUUAUUUAUGCCCAUAAUACCGUAAAAUACUUGCUGACCUUGAGACAUAUUAAAAUUCAACUACCUUAUCUUACUGUAGUAAAACUUAUGCUAUGAAUAUACAAAUCUAAUCCUAGGCCAGUGAACAAUUACAUCUUUUUAGCUCAUUAUAACUAGAUUACCUCAUUAUAAAAUUUUUGCAAAAACAAAAUCACAAAGAAAUUAUUAGAGUUACUCAUUUAAAAACUAAUCAAAGUAUUGUUCAAUGGAUAGAGAAAUAAUUAUGAAAAUAGAAUCCCAACUUUUAAGAAUGCUUUCCUUAUAUGCAUGUACUUCCUACCAUUAAUGCCCCAGGGAGAAAGAUUGUUAAAAAGAGAAAGAAGAAAAAAAA